UCGAGUUUACAACUCCCAAACCCUAUGUGAACAUACCUAUCGUUGCUUCGGCGGACUCGCCCCGGCGUCCGGACGGCCUCGCGCCGCCCGCGGCCCGGACCCAGGCGGCCGCCGGAGACCCUCAAACUCUGUAUUAUCAGCAUCUUCUGAAUACGCCGCAAGGCAAAACAAAUGAAUCA
This 179-nucleotide unclassified non-coding RNA is filed under the name uncultured Lecanicillium. RNAcentral describes it as "sequence contains ITS1". The record is from RNAcentral. Lineage: Eukaryota; Fungi; Ascomycota; Sordariomycetes; Hypocreales; Cordycipitaceae.